UCAGGGGGUUGUUUGUCCAGGUGUGUUUAGGAUGGAACCUGUACCUGUCUACCGUCCUCAUGCUGGUGGUCACUGCCCUCUACACUAUAGCAGGUGGUCUGGCUGCUGUCAUCUAUACAGACACUCUGCAGACCUUCGUCAUGAUUAUAGGAGCAAUCAUCCUCACCAUCACAGCGUUCAACAAGAUUGGAGGCUACAGUAACUUGGAGAGAGUUUACCAGGCAGCCAUCCCUUCUAAGGUGAGUCAAC
Long non-coding RNA from Oncorhynchus kisutch (coho salmon), 249 nucleotides. RefSeq lists it as uncharacterized. The transcript has 3 exons. The record is from RefSeq and is a predicted model, not a curated record. NCBI's taxonomy places the organism in Eukaryota, Metazoa, Chordata, Actinopteri, Salmoniformes, Salmonidae.